This 421-nucleotide ribosomal RNA is filed under the name uncultured bacterium. RNAcentral describes it as "bacterial SSU rRNA". It matches the Rfam family "Bacterial small subunit ribosomal RNA", at positions 917 to 1341 of the family's 1533-position model. The record is from RNAcentral.
GGGCCCGCACAAGCGGUGGAGCAUGUGGUUUAAUUCGAUGAUACGCGAGGAACCUUACCAGGGCUUAAAUGUAGUCUGACAGGGGUGGAAACACCUCCUCCUUCGGGCAGAUUACAAGGUGCUGCAUGGUUGUCGUCAGCUCGUGCCGUGAGGUGUCAGGUUAAGUCCUAUAACGAGCGCAACCCCUGCCGUUAGUUGCCAGCAUGUAAUGAUGGGAACUCUAACGGGACUGCCGGUGCAAACCGCGAGGAAGGUGGGGAUGACGUCAAAUCAUCACGGCCCUUACGUCCUGGGCUACACACGUGCUACAAUGGCCGGUACAGAGGGCAGCCACACCGCAAGGUGGAGCGAAUCCUUAAAACCGGUCUCAGUUCGGAUCGGGGUCUGCAACUCGACUCCGUGAAGUCGGAAUCGCUAGUAA